UCGAGUUAGGGUCCUCAGGGCCCAGCUUCCAACCCAAUGUUUAUUUACUCUUGUUGCUUUGGCGGGUCGAGGUUUCGGCCCCGCUGGCUCUGGCUGGCGAGUACCCGCCGAAGGUCACCCAAAAUCUAUUUAUUCGUGAUGUCUGAGAAAAAUAUUCAAUAAGCGA
This 166-nucleotide unclassified non-coding RNA is filed under the name uncultured fungus. RNAcentral describes it as "sequence contains ITS1, 5.8S rRNA gene". The record is from RNAcentral. Lineage: Eukaryota; Fungi.